AUGAAGCCAAAUAAGGGCAUACGGUGAAUGCCUUGGCGCAAAAGACCGAAGAAGGACGUGAUAGGCUGCGAUAUGCCUCGGGGAGCUGUCAAAUAAGCUUUGAUCCGGGGAUUUCCGAAUGGGGUAACCCAUCUAGGUUCAAACCUAGUUACCAUACAGUAAAUUCAUAGCUGUAUAGGAGGGCAUGCAGGGAAGUGAAACCUCUCAGUACCUGCGAGAAAAGAGAACAAUAGUUUAUUUCCUGAGUAGUGGCGAGCGAAAAGGAAGUAGCCCAAACUAAUACUGUGUAAGGAAGAUCCAAUUUAUGAUUCGCGUUGCGAUGAUUAAGGCGGUGAAUCCGUAGUCUGCCGAUCGUGCAGUAUUGGUGUAGUAAGAGUUAGUUGAUUAAACGGCAGUUUAAUCGAGAAGUUACAAAAUUUAACUUUAGAAGAACAUAUCUGGAAAGGUAGACCAUAGGGAGUGAAAGUCUCGUAUUUUAAAAAGUUAAAUCUUCUUUCUAACAUCUUGAGUACCACGGGGCACGUGAAAUCUUGUGGGAAUCAGCCAAGACCACUUGGCAAGGCUAAAUAUCUUUUGCGACCGAUAGUGGAGUAGUUCCGUGAGGGAAAGGUGAAAAACACCCCUGUUAGGGGAGUGAAAUAGAUCUGAAACCGUAUGCUUACAAACAGUCGGAGCCGGUAUAUCCGGUGACGGCGUGCCUAUUGAAGAAUGACCCGGUGAGUUAGUUGUGUGCGGCAAGGUUAACCAUGUUUAUUGGGGAGCCGAAGCGAAAGCGAGUCCGAAUAGGGCGAAUUUAGUCGCAUGCACUAGACCCGAAACCAGGUGAUCUAACCAUGAGCAGGGUGAAGGAAUGAGAAAUCGUUUUGGAGGCCCGAACUCUUUAAUGUUACAAAAUUAUGAGAUGACUUGUGGUUAGCGGUAACAUGCCAAACGAACCUGGUAAUAGCUGGUUCUCCCCGAAAUAGCUUUUGGGCUAGCGUUGUAAUUUAAUCAUUGGGGGUAGAGCACUGAUUGGGUCUGGGGCCCGAAAGGGUACCCAAUCCAGUUAAACUCCGAAUACCAAUGAGAACAUUACGGCAGUUAGAACUAGGGAGCUAAGUUCCUAUGUUCAAGAGGGAAACAGCCCAGAUUGUCAGAUAAGGACCCUAAAUUACAUCUUAGUGGGAAAGGAAGUGGAGUUUCUCAGACAGCUAGGAGGUUGGCUCAGAGGCAGCCAUCCUUUAAAAAGUGCGUAAAAGCUUACUAGUCAAGAGAUUCUGCACCGAAGAUUCAACGGGGCUGAAGAUGUAUUCCGAAGCUGCAAAUUUAUCUAUCAUUCGUGAUUUGAUGAGUGGUAGGGGAGCGUUCUAUACAUGAUCUACUUAGCAGUAGAUACAUCGCGGUGAAGGUGACCUGUAAAGAGUUGCUGGAGCGUAUAGAAGUGAGAAUGCCGGGAUGAGUAACGUAAAGCAGGUGAAAACCCUGCUCGCCGAAUGUCUAAGGUUUCCAUGGCUAUGGCAGUCAUCCAUGGGUUAGUCGGUCCUAAGAUCAGGCCGAAAGGCGUAAUCGAUGGACAACAGGUUAAUAUUCCUGUACCACUAAUAUCUGCGACGGAGAUUGGGAAUUGAGAAUGCAAGCCCCUUAUUGGUUUGGGGUGUAAGCAGUUAGUUAGUUUCCUCAGGUAAAUCCGGGGAAAUGAUUCUACUUCGGUAGAUGAAAACGAGCUGCGAUGCAAAGGUGACCUUCGGGAAGCCGAUUUGUUGUAUUAAUUCUCCAGGAAAAACUUCUAGCGUGUCUACCUUCGGGUGGACGAAAAGAUAUUUGUGACCGUACCGCAAACCGACACUGGUGGACUGGUAUAAAUGUACCAAGGCGUACGAGUUAUGCGUCGUUAAGGAACUCGGCAAAUUAACCCCGUAAGUUCGCGAGAAGGGGGGCCUUCCAUCAUAGAUAUUUAUAUUUGUGAUGAUGGAGGCGGCACAGAAUAGGGAGGAGCGACUAGUUACCAAAACUACAGGCGCUUGCAAAUUCGUAAGAAGAUGUAUAAGUGCUGACACCUGCCCAAUGCCAGAAGGUUAAGAAAGUUUGUCAAUCGUCUGUCGGGUGCUCUUCGGAGCCCUGAUGGUGAGGAAGCGGACGAUCGAAGCCCUGGUCAAUGGCGGCUGUAACUAUAACGGUCCUAAGGUAGCGUAAUACCUCGUCACUUAAUUAGUGACUUGCAUGAAAGGUGUAACGACUCUUCCACUGUCUCGACGGCGCGCUCGGUGAAAUUGAAAUGGCUGUGAAGAUGCGGCCUACCCAUACCAGGACAAAAAGACCCCGUGGAGCUUUACUGCAGCUUUGCAUUGAAAUAGGGCUUUGGAUAUAGAGAAUAGGUGGGAGACUUUGAAGCCGUCUCGUUAGGGAUGGUGGAGUCAAAAUAUGGAAUACCACUUUUUCAACGUUUUAUUUCUAACCGCUUCCGUUAUCCGGAAGUUGAACAGUGCAUGGUGGGCAGUUUGACUGGGGCGGUUGCUUGCUAAAGAGUACCGCAAGCGCACAAAGGUCUCCUCAACCCGGAUGGAAAUCGGGUGAAGAGUGCAUGAGCAUAAGGAGGCUUUACUGUGAGGGAGACAUCCCGAUCAGUUACGAAAGUAGGUUCAAGUGACCCUUUCGCAGAAUGUGGAAUCGCGAUUGUUUAACGGAGAUAAGCUACCCCGGGGAUAACAGGCUGGUGGUGCCCGAUAGUUCAUAUUGACGGCACCGUUCGGCACCUCGAUGUCGGCUCGUCACAUCCUGGGGCUGGAGAAGGCCCCAAGGGUUCGACUGUUCGUCGAUUAAAGUGGCACGUGAGCUGGGUUCAGACCGUCGUGAGCCAGGUCGGUCUCUAUCCGGUAUGGGCGUUGUAUAUUUGA
This 2873-nucleotide ribosomal RNA is filed under the name Candidatus Dojkabacteria bacterium HGW-Dojkabacteria-1. RNAcentral's name for it is "bacterial LSU rRNA". It matches the Rfam family "Bacterial large subunit ribosomal RNA". The record is from RNAcentral.